This 331-nucleotide unclassified non-coding RNA is filed under the name soil metagenome. RNAcentral's name for it is "partial contains 5.8S ribosomal RNA, internal transcribed spacer 2, and large subunit ribosomal RNA". The stretch from base 1 to 120 matches the Rfam family "5.8S ribosomal RNA", at positions 35 to 154 of the family's 154-position model. The record is from RNAcentral.
GAUGAAGAACGUAGUGAAAUGCGAUAAGUAGUGUGAAUUGCAGAAUUCAGUGAAUCAUCGAAUCUUUGAACGCACAUUGCGCCCCCUGGUAUUCCGGGGGGCAUGCCUGUUCGAGCGUCAUUUCACCACUCAAGCCUCGCUUGGUAUUGGGCAACGCGGUCCGCCGCGUGCCUCAAAUCGACCGGCUGGGUCUUCUGUCCCCUAAGCGUUGUGGAAACUAUUCGCUAAAGGGUGUUCGGGAGGCUACGCCGUAAAACAACCCCAUUUCUAAGGUUGACCUCGGAUCAGGUAGGGAUACCCGCUGAACUUAAGCAUAUCAAUAAGCGGAGGA